CACAGACUCAGAGUGGUCAAAGUAUUUACAACCAUUUUAUUCAAUCAUUACUUUUCGGAAAGGGGAUGUGCACGCUGCUAAGCAUCGGCAGAUCUGAAGCAUUAGAAGCCAAAUUUGUAUAAUAUAGUCAGUUAUUUUGGUACUCUGCUCGACUUAUACGUCACACACAGUUUCGAUCAAAACAACUUCUGUACAUCUGCAUCCUGUUCUUCUGCAGCUCUGCACAAAGCGUCCUGUUCUGCACAGUUUCCUGUCUUGCUCAGCAACCUAUGACCUUUAACACACUUUAUGACUGAAAGAUGGCCUGUUUUAAUAUACUGGCCUACAUAAAACAAUAUAAUCAUAAAAUAAGCACAUAAGAAAAUAUAUAUAUAUUCCUUAACAAGAACUAAUACCAAUGAUAUUGUGAGAAGCACUCCAAGGUGAACAAAUGUGGAUAUUUUUUUAAUUCUGCUUUGUUUUCACUCAGUUGAAUGUUACUUUUAAAGUCUUGGAUUUGUUAACAUGGCUAAUAACUGGUUGGCUAUUUUGCUACAUAAGCGGGGUGUGUUAAGUUGCAUCCAGCCAAAAGUACUUUCAGGUUUGUCUUAGGGAGAAACGAGCAGACAGUGCACUUGUUAAGCUCAAAGAAAGGUGGCUUAUUAACAGGGGCCAAACAUGACUUUUUAAGCACAGGAGUGUAUGUCUGUCCAUCCAUGUCCAGCAGCACCACCAGCAGGUAGGCCCAGACCUGGAUCAAGCUCCUCCAUGAGCACAGAGGCUUCCACAGCUUCACCUCCACCCUACCCUCACUCUGAAAAACAAGUGUCACCAGUGUCAACCAACCUUCCCCAGCCUGAAACUGCUGGAGCCAUUGCAUCAUCUUCGCCUCAAGUCACCAGAUCGAGUAAAGAGUUUAACCCAGGAAUGAAUGAGCCGGCUACCAGUUUGUAUGACAGCAUCACCACAUGAAGUCAUGGGCUUGGAUGGAAACAUUGAUCCACAAUUUACACCAACAGCAACUAAAAUAGAGACUGAUUAUUUUAAAGUGGAGACAAACCAUCUCAUCAUGAAUCAACAGCAUUAUCCUCAACCUUAAAGACAGACUAGCAGCAUACAAACAUCACAGCCUGCAUGGCCAUGGAGAUUAAACUUUUGUAUCUACCUGUGUGGAUUAGAAAAUGAGACAAACAUGGAGUAUUGACACGGCCUGAUGCCAUCCAAAUCACAAACUGUGUUAAAAAC
RNAcentral lists this long non-coding RNA (1224 nucleotides) under Oreochromis niloticus (Nile tilapia). RNAcentral describes it as "lncRNA (ENSONIG00000039231.1)". The record is from RNAcentral. Lineage: Eukaryota; Metazoa; Chordata; Actinopteri; Cichliformes; Cichlidae.